GUGGGGAAUUUUGGACAAUGGGCGCAAGCCUGAUCCAGCAAUGCCGCGUGCAGGAAGAAGGCCUUCGGGUUGUAAACUGCUUUUGUACGGAACGAAACGGUCCGGGUUAAUACCCUGGGCUAAUGACGGUACCGUAAGAAUAAGCACCGGCUAACUACGUGUCAGCAGCCGCGGUAAUACGUAGGGUGCAAGCGUUAAUCGGAAUUACUGGGCGUAAAGCGUGCGCAGGCGGUUUUGUAAGACAGGCGUGAAAUCCCCGGGCUCAACCUGGGAAUUGCGCUUGGGACUGCAAGGCUGGAGUGCGGCAGAGGGGGAUGGAAUUCCGCGUGUAGCAGUGAAAUGCGUAGAUAUGCGGAGGAACACCGAUGGCGAAGGCAAUCCCCUGGGCCUGCACUGACGCUCAUGCACGAAAGCGUGGGGAGCAAACAGGAUUAGAUACCCUUGUAGUCC
RNAcentral lists this ribosomal RNA (450 nucleotides) under uncultured bacterium. Its description in RNAcentral is "bacterial SSU rRNA". It matches the Rfam family "Bacterial small subunit ribosomal RNA", at positions 354 to 796 of the family's 1533-position model. The record is from RNAcentral.